GAUGAACGCUGGCGGCGUGCCUAAUACAUGCAAGUCGAGCGAACAGAUGAGGAGCUUGCUCCUCUGACGUUAGCGGCGGACGGGUGAGUAACGCGUGGAUAACCUACCUAUAAGACUGGGAUAACUUCGGGAAACCGGAGCUAAUACCGGAUAAUAUAUUGAACCGCAUGGUUCAAUAGUGAAAGACGGUUUUGCUGUCACUUAUAGAUGGAUCCGCGCCGCAUUAGCUAGUUGGUAAGGUAACGGCUUACCAAGGCAACGAUGCGUAGCCGACCUGAGAGGGUGAUCGGCCACACUGGAACUGAGACACGGUCCAGACUCCUACGGGAGGCAGCAGUAGGGAAUCUUCCGCAAUGGGCGAAAGCCCGACGGAGCAACGCCGCGUGAGUGAUGAAGGUCUUCGGAUCGUAAAACUCUGUUAUUAGGGAAGAACAAAUGUGUAAGUAACUAUGCACGUCUUGACGGUACCUAAUCAGAAAGCCACGGCUAACUACGUG
RNAcentral lists this ribosomal RNA (497 nucleotides) under uncultured bacterium. Its description in RNAcentral is "partial 16S ribosomal RNA". It matches the Rfam family "Bacterial small subunit ribosomal RNA", at positions 28 to 507 of the family's 1533-position model. The record is from RNAcentral.